UCGCAGUACUGCGGAGA
Molecule: ribosomal RNA, 17 nt
Filed under: Calocybe convexa
Lineage: Eukaryota; Fungi; Basidiomycota; Agaricomycetes; Agaricales; Lyophyllaceae
Description: partial 18S ribosomal RNA
Source: RNAcentral